AUGCACGCUGGCGGCGUGCCUAAUACAUGCCAGUCGAGCGAACAGACGAGGAGCUUGCUCCUCCGACGUUAGCGGCGGACGGGGUAGUAACACGUUGAUAACCUACCUAUAAGACUGGGAUUACUUCGGGAAACCGGAGCUAAUACCGGAUAAUAUAUUGAACCGCCUGGUUCAAUAGUGAAAGACGGUUUUGCUGUCCCUUAUAGAUGGAUCCGCGCCGCAUUAGCUAGUUGGUAAGGUAACGGCUUACCAAGGCAACGAUGCGUAGCCGACCUGAGAGGGUGAUCGGCCACACUGGAACUGAGACACGGUCCAGACUCCUACGGGAGGCAGCAGUAGGGAAUCUUCCGCAAUGGGCGAAAGCCUGACGGAGCAACGCCGCGUGAGUGAUGAAGGUCUUCGGAUCGUAAAACUCUGUUAUUAGGGAAGAACAAAUGUGUAAGUAACUAUGCACGUCUUGACGGUACCUAAUCAGAAAGCCACGGCUAACUACGUG
This 496-nucleotide ribosomal RNA is filed under the name uncultured bacterium. Its description in RNAcentral is "partial 16S ribosomal RNA". It matches the Rfam family "Bacterial small subunit ribosomal RNA", at positions 29 to 507 of the family's 1533-position model. The record is from RNAcentral.